This is a non-coding RNA of Xyrichtys novacula (pearly razorfish), 3882 nucleotides long. The record is from the annotation of a GenBank genome assembly. NCBI's taxonomy places the organism in Eukaryota, Metazoa, Chordata, Actinopteri, Labriformes, Labridae.
GAGGAGGGGGGACUUCUAUUAUUGAGGCAGUUGUUGGUAGUGGGCUGGGAGCUGGGAAUAGUGAAAUGGAGCAGUUCAUGCACUCAUAAACAGAGAGUGCGGUGGAGCAGAAGGGAGGUGGAGGGGCUGCGGGGUCGAGGGAGAGAGAAACGAGGAAAAGGAGAAUAGGAGAGGGGCCCCGAGGGUGAGCGGGAGAGAGGAGCCAACUCCACGUGUUUUGGCCCACUGCUAACUGAUAGCACGUUUUAGACCAUUACGUCAUGGUCUGCCGGUCUCUGUGCUGUUUGAGACUCACUGCUGUGGGAUCACAUUCUUCAUGGAAGACGGCCCGGGGUAAUGACACCUGUUGUUGAAGGACUGAGAGUCUGUUAAAAGACGGUACAUGGAGCGUUUAUGAGCAGUGACAGGCUGUGUUAACGAUUGCAUACCAUAAAGGAAACAGUUUAACGUGAUUUAAUUAAGACAUAACAGACUUUUUAUGAUGUUUCUCAGCUUAAACUGAAUACAGCUUAUGCUUGUGCUCAGUUUUGAAAUUGUCACUUUUCUUGGGUUUGUGAGCACAGUCUUCAUGAUGCCAGCCAAACAACCCGCAGGAUUUUUCAGCAAUCACAUUUUUAUUGCUUCACCACUAGAAAAGCAUGUUUUCCAAAGUGGAGCACCCCCUUUUAUUGCACAUUAAGGUCAUUAACUGUAAGCACUAUCCAGCCUAUAAAACUAUAACAUGUCUUAACCCCUAAUGGAGACGCACAGAUUUGAAAUGCAAUCCUAAUGAUGUCAGAUGAGGGUUGCAUCGUGGAGCUUGACCACUUCUCAGUCUAUGUAUUACAACAUUUAACAUUUUCUUAAUUAGUUUUGGUCUCAAAUGCUAGUUUCACACACCCAUAAUAACUUUUUAAGUUUCAGACCUACAUAUAAAGUUGCAUCAUUAAAGGUGGGACUGAGUGGUGGUGGGAUUCUGCAGCUGUUGGACAGGUAACCCCACCUCAGCUUUACUAUUAAGAUUGAGUCACCAGCCCAAAAUUGUUGGUCUUCAAAGCAGCACUUUAAAAACCAAUGGCUGAUUUUGUAGAGGCUACAACUCUUUUUUAUACAGUCCAAAUCUUUAUCCAAAUAUGGUUACUUUUAGCAGUAGCCCAAGGCGUAAACAAACUAAGCGCCUGCUUAGGGCCCCGCAGCCAGUAGGCAGCCCCCAAGAGCAAUCAAAAAAAUAAAAAUAUAUUAUUAUUAUUUGCAUGUAUGAGUGAUGCUUUAUGUGUGAUCAAAGACAUAUUAUUGUAAAAAUAAAAUAAAACAUUUUAGUGCUGCUGCUGAUGUAGGCCUAUGAUUCUUACUGCCGAUAUGUUAAAGCUCCACCAACGUUUUAUGCCUCCUGUUGUGCAAUGUGCACUAAGCAUCCUGAAUGUGUUACAUUUUGAGAUUAAAACCAUAUGUGGCACCCUGUACAUCAUUCAUCAGUCAUUCAUUGGUAUUAUCUGUAUGGUUGCAUUGGUAUUAUUAAUGUCAUUACCUAGGCCACCCCCUUAAAUGUGUAGACAUGUCAGGUGCACUAAAUUUAUACAGUAGGAGGUAUGUGAAUGAUCAACAAUCAAUAUUAUUGGCAGAAAUAGUGGCCCCAAAAUCAAAUUUUGCUUAGGGCUCCAUUGAGGCUUGGGUCGGCUCUGACUUCUAGCUCCAAAAGACUGUGUCAACCCCAUAGUGAUACUGUCUUUAAUACAGAUCCAAGAUUUUGGAGUCGCCUUUUUAUUAAUUAUCGUCAUUUGUCAGCAUCUUCACAUUUUCAUUUAGUCUAUAGCUCCACCUUACAAUACAUCCAGACCUCCCAACUUGAGUCCAAAUCCCUUUCCCUAAAGAAAAGCAGACUAAAUUCAGAUGAUUCAUACUAAACAGUCCUCUUUUUCCCAGCACCCCAGAGAGACACACAAAGAAACAGGGGGACUCUCCCACACUCUAUCUCUGCUUGCCUCUCUGUCUGCGCUUACACACACGUUUUCUUCAGAGUGACAUGUGAUGUAGUGUCUGAUUAAAUCACACUAAAGGAAACAAAAGACAACAAGGUCGUAAAUUAUUUGAGUCUACAUGCCCCCUACAGGUGUAGGUGACAUUUGACCCCGCUCAGUCCGGACAGUGAUGAGGGAAGACAAACUGGUGUUGCAUGACGGCGAAUUAAACAAGCACAACAAAAUUAAACUGACGUCAUUAUGAAAUGAUGUGAAAAACUGUCUUUGCUGAAUGCCUCAGUUUAAACAGAUUAAGGACGUACCAGGAACCCUGUUUCCUCAGCAAAUCCAUCAUAGUUGAUUAGUGUCAUAUCCACCCUUCCCUCAUGGUACCCCACCCAUGCUGCUGUGACUACGCACCAUUUACCAAGAGCAGAUAUAGUGUAUUCAGUAGUCUAUAACACAGAAUUGGUCUUUACUCUCUGGGGACAUUCUGGACAUUCCUGCUAUUGUUGUUUCAUUACCAGGCUGAGGGUUACUCUUGCCAUUCACUCUGGCUGACCUCUAGAUUAACAGGCGGAGCUGCUGGGGACCAUGUUCCUGAAAUAAAUAGAUGUGAGCUCUUUCUUUAAAAGUCAUGGUGUACAUUUUUGCUAGUGGGUCCCAUAAAACACUUAUGUUUUGAUUUGUCUGACUCUCCUAGAAUAAAAAUGGGAAACAGCUCACCACUCUGAGAGACUGAUUGAGCAAAUGGUUCAAUAAAAAAGUUCCACAGAGAGAAAACUUUUAGGUAUUUCAUUGUCUUUAGAUCUCCGUUCAUAAUUGAUAAGGCCAAAAACUUAUCCUGGAUAUGACUGAGGUGGCAGUCACUGCAUCAGUUCAAAAAACCAUCACCUGGAAAAACAGUUCAUCACUGCAUCCAUAGCUGCAAAUUAAAACCGUACCAUGCAAAGAGGAACCCAUAAAACAUGAUUCAGAAACACCUGCAAGUUUUCUUGGCCGAAGCUCCUUUAAAAUGGACUGAGUUGGAGUCAAAAACUGUCCUAUGAUCAUGAUUUGAACUUCUUUUUGGAAAUCAUAGGUGCCAAAUCCUCUGCUGUAAAGAGAAGAGAAACUGUUACACUUGUUCUCAGCACACUGUUCAUAAACCAGCUGACUGAUGUGGUGCUGAACACUAUAUGCUAGUUUUGGAGCAACAUAUGCUGCUCUCCAGAUAAUAUCUUUUACAGGGAAACCUUUGCCUGCAUAUUUCAACAAGACAAUGCCAAACCAAACAUGGCUCUAUAAAGGAUCCCAGAUGCUAAAUUGGCUUACCUGCAGUCCACAUCGAAUUUCAACUGUUGUAUAUGUGUAUUAAAAACUACUGGGUAUGUUUUCUUCUGACCAAAAGUCCAAGAAGAUGACACUUACUGACUUUCAUCCAGGUCGGCUGGUCUUGGAAGUAUAUCGACUAAUAAACUGGCAGCAACAAUAUAUAAUAGACUCUAUCUGUUAGAAUAAUACCGGUUUUUCCUUCAUGCAUCAUGUUUAGAUUUACCGAUUAUGUUGUGUAUUUACCACCCGUUAAGUUCCCGACAUGAGUCUUCUGAACAUUGUCCUGUGAAGAUAAGCCUUCAUCAGUGACUCUUUCAGCAGAGCAGUUUUUCUACAACAUCUGUUUCUGGACCCAAACUCCCCUUUCCUUUCUUUAGAUCAUUUCCCCACUCUGCUCUCUUAUCUCUCCUUGUUUCCUGAAUGUGUAUUUACUAAUGCAAUCAACCCCUCACAGUAGUGAUGAUAUUUGUUUACUCUUCUAUCCCCAGUGUUUUCUGUUAACUGUUCAUUUCAAGGCGUGAAGUGCUUACAGCGAUCUGUUGCAGUUUAAUGAGAUGUGUGAGUGUGUUUGAAUGUAUGGGGGUCUCUGUGUGUGUGAGGAUGAGAAGUGCAGCUGCAGCUCCAAAAUCAA